UGAAGUCAAAAACGUUGUCGGCGC
RNAcentral lists this non-coding RNA (24 nucleotides) under Arabidopsis thaliana (thale cress). Lineage: Eukaryota; Viridiplantae; Streptophyta; Magnoliopsida; Brassicales; Brassicaceae. The record is from RNAcentral.